This 502-nucleotide ribosomal RNA is filed under the name uncultured bacterium. RNAcentral's name for it is "partial 16S ribosomal RNA". It matches the Rfam family "Bacterial small subunit ribosomal RNA", at positions 30 to 523 of the family's 1533-position model. The record is from RNAcentral.
AUUGAACGCUGGCGGAAUGCUUUACACAUGCAAGUCGAACGGCAGCACGGGUGCUUGCACCUGGUGGCGAGUGGCGAACGGGUGAGUAAUAUAUCGGAACGUAUCCAAUAAUGGGGGAUAACUAAUCGAAAGGUUGGCUAAUACCGCAUACGCCCUACGGGGGAAAGCUAGGGACCUUCGGGCCUGGCGUUAAUGGAGCGGCCGAUAUCUGAUUAGCUAGUUGGUGGGGUAAUGGCCUACCAAGGCGACGAUCAGUAGCUGGUCUGAGAGGACGACCAGCCACACUGGAACUGAGACACGGUCCAGACUCCUACGGGAGGCAGCAGUGGGGAAUUUUGGACAAUGGGCGCAAGCCUGAUCCAGCCAUUCCGCGUGAGUGAAGAAGGCCUUCGGGUUGUAAAGCUCUUUCGCAAGGGAAGAAAACUUAUCCUCUAACAUAGGAUGAGGUUGACGGUCCCUUGAUAAGAAGCACCGGCUAACUACGUGCCAGCCGCCGCAGUAA